Molecule: long non-coding RNA, 576 nt
Filed under: Ananas comosus (pineapple)
Lineage: Eukaryota; Viridiplantae; Streptophyta; Magnoliopsida; Poales; Bromeliaceae
Description: long non-coding RNA (ACOM_LNC025635)
Source: RNAcentral
GAAUAUGCCUUCUUUUUUAUUAUUAUUAUUAUUAUUAUUAUUAUUAUUAUGAGUUACUUAGGUUUCGUUUGGAAUUGCGGAAAGAUUGUGUUACGUACGGUAAAAAAGUAUGUUGAAAAAAUACCAUAUUUGUUUCUGUACGUAAUAUUGCGUUCAACAUAUUGCAAUGAGUCGGUUACGAUAUAUUUUCUGCUGUCUCACUAAAGAAAGCAGAAGCAUAUCCCUAUGCUUUUUCCUCAACUCCAUUUUAUCUAAUAGCGUUAGAUAGACCUCAAUACCAAAUUAAGCUUUACUAUAUUCUUAUAAAUAUAGACUUUUUUGUAUUUAUAAAUUUUCAACCGUUAGAUCUACCCGUUUGACCAUUGUCACCCGUUAGAUCAUACUAUUCAACCAACCACCCAUUUAAUUCUAGGGAACCACUAUCAUCCUAACCGGAAACUAAUAUCAUUCGAUCAGCAUAUUCGUUUAUCUAAAGAUCGAAAACUUAUGAGUAUAAAGAGGUUCAUACUGACAAGAGUAUAGUAGCCCUAACCUUAUUAUUAUUACUAUUGUAUAAAAUUAUAAAUCAUUUUUCAA